Molecule: unclassified non-coding RNA, 375 nt
Filed under: uncultured bacterium
Lineage: Bacteria
Description: contains 16S-23S intergenic spacer region
Source: RNAcentral
UCCAGCUUGUCACUGGCAGUUUCUUCAGAGUCCCCAACUUAAUGAUGGUAACUGAAGAUGAGGGUUGCGCUCGUUGCGGGACUUAACCCAACAUCUCACGACACGAGCUGACGACAGCCAUGCAGCACCUGUCUCUGAUCCGGCCGAACCGAAGCUUACAUUACAUAAGCGGCUAUCAGGAUGUCAAGAGCUGGUAAGGUUUUUCGCGUAGCCUCGAAUUAAACCACAUGCUCCACCGCUUGUGCGGGUCCCCGUCAAUUCCUUUGAGUUUUAAUCUUGCGACCGUACUCCCCAGGCGGGGUGCUUAACGCGUUAGCUACGUCACCGAAACUAAAGUUCCGACGACUAGCACCCAUCGUUUAGGGCGUGGACUAC